This 61-nucleotide small nucleolar RNA is filed under the name Geospiza fortis (medium ground-finch). Its description in RNAcentral is "Small nucleolar RNA Z39 (ENSGFOG00000014743.1)". It matches the Rfam family "Small nucleolar RNA Z39". From Rfam's summary of the family: Z39 is a member of the C/D class of snoRNA which contain the C (UGAUGA) and D (CUGA) box motifs. Most of the members of the box C/D family function in directing site-specific 2'-O-methylation of substrate RNAs. The record is from Rfam by way of RNAcentral. Lineage: Eukaryota; Metazoa; Chordata; Aves; Passeriformes; Thraupidae. RNAcentral also lists the same sequence under 2 other names.
GCACGUGUGAUGUGACACCACAGGAUGAGGAACUGUGAUGCUGUAAACGCUUUCUGAUGUG